UUGGGGGGUGGUGCGGAGGCUGGAUGGUGGACGGUUCUGCUAGCCAGCGCUGCACCGCAUCUCUGUGCCCCCAUCUUUGCGAAUGGAAGGCCCUGACUCCUCUCUUUUAGGAGGUUCUGCCGGUCAAGGAAUUUGUCUUCUAACUGCUAUGCACAGCGACAUGGGGGCCACCGGGCCACCAGUCUGUGGCAGAAGGAAAGAGGACUAACUGAAGGGGGCUGUCGUGGAGAAGAGUGUGUGACGUCAGUGAGAAUCUCGGGGUGUGACAUCAGCUCCGGGCUACUAGUGACGUCACCGGGACAGCUGUAUAAGGGGCCAGCCCGCCAGCCAGAGUGUAUGUGAUGUCACCGUGGAUGUGGGGCUCAGUGUGGCCCUGUCCUAUGUGUUUGAGGGGCAGAGGGGAAAGGGAGGGAACCUUUGAGUGAAUGAGCCCCCAAGAGGCCUCCUGUGCCAUGGCCUGAGUGGGUGUGGGACCCCUUCCUUGCCUGUGCCCCCCAAUGCUGCCUCUCCUCUGCCCCCACAUGGAGAGACCCC
RNAcentral lists this long non-coding RNA (534 nucleotides) under Fukomys damarensis (Damara mole-rat). RNAcentral describes it as "lncRNA (ENSFDAG00000031828.1)". Lineage: Eukaryota; Metazoa; Chordata; Mammalia; Rodentia; Bathyergidae. The record is from RNAcentral.